This 553-nucleotide ribosomal RNA is filed under the name Lysinibacillus boronitolerans. RNAcentral describes it as "bacterial SSU rRNA". It matches the Rfam family "Bacterial small subunit ribosomal RNA", at positions 73 to 610 of the family's 1533-position model. Lineage: Bacteria; Bacillati; Bacillota; Bacilli; Caryophanales; Bacillaceae. The record is from RNAcentral.
AAGGAGCUUGCUCCUUUGACGUUAGCGGCGGACGGGUGAGUAACACGUGGGCAACCUACCCUAUAGUUUGGGAUAACUCCGGGAAACCGGGGCUAAUACCGAAUAAUCUCUUUUGCUUCAUGGUGAAAGACUGAAAGACGGUUUCGGCUGUCGCUAUAGGAUGGGCCCGCGGCGCAUUAGCUAGUUGGUGAGGUAACGGCUCACCAAGGCGACGAUGCGUAGCCGACCUGAGAGGGUGAUCGGCCACACUGGGACUGAGACACGGCCCAGACUCCUACGGGAGGCAGCAGUAGGGAAUCUUCCACAAUGGGCGAAAGCCUGAUGGAGCAACGCCGCGUGAGUGAAGAAGGUUUUCGGAUCGUAAAACUCUGUUGUAAGGGAAGAACAAGUACAGUAGUAACUGGCUGUACCUUGACGGUACCUUAUUAGAAAGCCACGGCUAACUACGUGCCAGCAGCCGCGGUAAUACGUAGGUGGCAAGCGUUGUCCGGAAUUAUUGGGCGUAAAGCGCGCGCAGGCGGUCCUUUAAGUCUGAUGUGAAAGCCCACGGCUC